Molecule: ribosomal RNA, 274 nt
Filed under: uncultured bacterium
Lineage: Bacteria
Description: partial 16S ribosomal RNA
Rfam family: Bacterial small subunit ribosomal RNA
Source: RNAcentral
AUACGGAGGGUGCAAGCGUUAAUCGGAAUUACUGGGCGUAAAGCGCGCGUAGGCGGCUUUGUAAGUCGGAUGUGAAAGCCCCGGGCUUAACCUGGGAAUGGCAUUCGAUACUGCAGAGCUAGAGUAUGGUAGAGGGAAGUGGAAUUUCCGGUGUAGCGGUGAAAUGCGUAGAUAUCGGAAGGAACACCAGUGGCGAAGGCGACUUCCUGGGCCAAUACUGACGCUGAGGUGCGAAAGCGUGGGGAGCAAACAGGAUUAGAAACCCCAGUAGUCC